RNAcentral lists this ribosomal RNA (430 nucleotides) under uncultured Bacillota bacterium. RNAcentral describes it as "bacterial SSU rRNA". It matches the Rfam family "Bacterial small subunit ribosomal RNA", at positions 958 to 1385 of the family's 1533-position model. The record is from RNAcentral. Lineage: Bacteria; Bacillati; Bacillota.
AACGCGAAGAACCUUACCAGGGCUUGACAUCUACAGAAUCUUUGGGAAACCAAGGAGUGCCUUUCGGGGAGCUGUAAGACAGGUGGUGCAUGGUUGUCGUCAGCUCGUGUCGUGAGAUGUUGGGUUAAGUCCCGCAACGAGCGCAACCCCUGUGUUUAGUUGCUAACGAGUAAUGUCGAGCACUCUAGACAGACUGCCGGUGAUAAACCGGAGGAAGGUGGGGAUGACGUCAAAUCAUCAUGCCCCUUAUGUUCUGGGCUACACACGUGCUACAAUGGCCAGUACAGACGGACGCGAAGCCGCGAGGUGGAGCAAAUCCGAGAAAGCUGGUCUCAGUUCGGAUUGCAGGCUGCAACUCGCCUGCAUGAAGUCGGAAUCGCUAGUAAUCGCAGGUCAGCAUACUGCGGUGAAUACGUUCCCGGGCCUUGUA